Molecule: unclassified non-coding RNA, 227 nt
Filed under: Hevea brasiliensis (rubber tree)
Lineage: Eukaryota; Viridiplantae; Streptophyta; Magnoliopsida; Malpighiales; Euphorbiaceae
Source: RNAcentral
GGCAAAGCUGUUAGGUUUUAGAGAAAAGCAAGAAAUGAAGUUCUUGUUCCAAUGCCCCUGCUGCUCCUGCUUCUGCUUCAUCAAGGCCAAACAACCAAACCCUAAGGAGAAGGAAGCCAAGGCGAAUUGAGAAGCCAAUUUCACCGAAGUCCCGUUUGGUUCAUGGAUUUUGUAUUUAUCCCCAGUUCCAAUUCUACAUAAAUAGCAGAAUGUAUUCGCCAAGGUUG